GACGUAGGGCGCAAGCGUUGUCCGGAUUUACUGGGCGUAAAGAGCGCGCAGGCGGUCGUUCAAGUCGAGUGUGAAAGCCCCCGGCUCAACUGGGGAGGGUCACUCGAUACUGAUCGACUCGAAGGCAGGAGAGGGAAGUGGAAUUCCCGGUGUAGUGGUGAAAUGCGUAGAUAUCGGGAGGAACACCAGUGGCGAAGGCGACUUCCUGGCCUGUUCUUGACGCUGAGGCGCGAAAGCUAGGGGAGCAAACGGG
This 253-nucleotide ribosomal RNA is filed under the name uncultured bacterium. Its description in RNAcentral is "partial 16S ribosomal RNA". It matches the Rfam family "Bacterial small subunit ribosomal RNA", at positions 524 to 776 of the family's 1533-position model. The record is from RNAcentral.